This 302-nucleotide long non-coding RNA is filed under the name Spirodela polyrhiza (greater duckweed). RNAcentral describes it as "long non-coding RNA (SPOL_LNC001307)". Lineage: Eukaryota; Viridiplantae; Streptophyta; Magnoliopsida; Alismatales; Araceae. The record is from RNAcentral.
AGAUGAACUACGAGGCGUGGGUGAGGGGCUUCGCGCCGCUGGCGGUGGGGGCGGACGUGCCGACGGCCGUGAGGGAGUUCAGCCGCACCCUGUUCAACAUGCGGCCGGACAUCUCCCUGUUCGUCUCUCGGACGGUGUUCAACAGCGACCUGCGCGGGGUGCUGGGCCUGGUGCGCUCCCCCUGCUGCAUCAUCCAGGGGGUGAAGGACGUCUCCGUCCCCAUCUCGGUGGCCGCCUACUUCAAGGCCCACCUCGGCGGCCGCACCACCGUCGAGAUCCUCCCCGCCGAGGGCCACCUCCCC